GGAACCCAGGAGAACUAGAAGCUCUCUUCUUUUUCCAUCUUUAAAACCUAUUAGAAAUGCGAGGAUGGUCAAGUCUACACGUGUGCCUUCUCAUGAGUUGGCCAAGCUGAAGGCCUCAAAACCAAUGCUACAUUAGAUGAAUUUGUGAGUGAUUGAUUGUGAUGCCACUGACGGCAUUAUCACCCAUUAUCACAUCAUGUUUGCUGUUCUGUUUACCCUUUCCCAGUUUUUAUAGGGGAAUAAAAAUGUGCCAUCAGUUAAGUCAAUGGAUGGCGCUUGCUGCCGCUACUGGUCUUAAACGAUGUCUUGAAAUCAGUUUUGAAUAAUAGUUGGAAUCUGGGGAAUCCUCACUCAUUAUCGAGGUAACUUUGCAGUCAACAUAUGUCGGCCAGUUUGUUCAGACAGGAUGUCCUUCACGCUUGAAGGUCGCGGGAAACAUUACGUGUAAAACUGUCAAUGCGGUGGUGUAGAGGUUGGUCGAGAACUGGACCUGUUGCAUCAUCAUCAAGUCACGGAGAUCAUUUCGUGAAACUGGCAUGCGGUGGUUUAGAGGUUGGGUGAGAAUGACACGUGUUUGAUGACAAGAAGACCCAUCCCCAGCAACGUCACCUGCAGAAGGAAAGGCCAGUUUGCAUUUCAAUCGAAGGUCAUGGAGAUCUUUACGUAAAACGUUUCGUUGUAGAGGUUGGGUGAGAAAGGGACGUUUUGCAUCAUUAUCAAAAAGGUAAAAUAACCGCAAGGCUUAAGAGGAGGGGUGAGAAAAAGUCUUAUAAAAGGCGAGAGAAAAGUCGACAGGGAUCAGUCGAGCGACUAUCUCCGACACGGUAACAGCUGCUCUAUUUGCCAUCAGCUGCAUUCUUCAUCGUAUUAUCAGUUCUCAAUCAUGGUCGUACAAAAGGGCAAGGAAAAGGCGAAAUAAUUCAGCAGCCGAGUGAGCAUCUCCGACACGGUAACAGCAACUGCAGUGCCCCAAUUGUCACCAACUGCAUUCUUCGUCGAAUUGCUAGUUUAAAUCAUGGUUAACUAUGGCGUCAUGCUGCUGUUGGGUGAUGCAUCGUUGAUGGCUGGUUCAGCCACUGCCCAUUGGCGUACGGAUGUCUCCUGGUAAGGCGGAUAUGCAACGCCGCCACCUUACUACUCAACAUACGACACGACCAGUUGCUACACCGUGGCCCCCCUAGUACUGCACCAAGGCUCCAGAAUAUUAUAUCACAACUUAUGCUGCCCUGAGCUACUACACCGAAUCCCCGCAGUAUUUUUCUUCCCCGAGCUACACUACCAAAGGGUCGAUUACUACACGGAUGCGCCAAAGUACUACACCACCAAAGCACCGUAGUACUACACAACACUACAUAUCAUGGUCGUAUGAAAGGAGAGAAAAGGUGAAAGAAUUCAGCAGCCGAUUUAGGAUCUCCGUUACGUCUACAGGAACUGCCGUGCACCAUUUUUCAUCAACUUCAUUCUUCGUCGUAUCACAAAUUUUAAAUAAAGUUAACUAUGGUGUCUUGCUGCUGUUGGGUGUAGUAUCGUUGAUGGCCGGGUCGACCACUGGUGUACCGAUAUUUCCUGGGUAUGGUGGGCAUCAACAACAACAUGCGCAAAAACCACUUACUACACUGAGGAUCCCAAGUGCUACACCACCGAGGAUCAACUUUUUACCCCAUCGAAGCGCCCAAGUACUGCACUACAACCUACGUCGCCCCAGCUUACACGACGCAGGGAGCUGAGUACUACACGACGCAGGGAGCUGAGAACUACACGACGCAGGGAGCGGAGUACUACACGACGCAGGGAGCGGAGUACUACACGACGCAGGGAGCGGAGUACUACACGACGCAGGGAGCGGAGUACUACACCAAGGCUGCAGUUUACUUCACUACAACCUACUUUGCUUCAGAGUACUACACUGAUGUUUCAAAGUACUACACCAUUAAAGGCAUUUGAAUAGAAGCUCCGAAAGCACUUCUCUGUCCCGAGUUACUACACCACUAACGCAGCCGAAUUAUAUUCUACAAGGAAGUUCCUUAUUACUAGAACCGAAAUUUCUACUCGAGGUUAUUUACAUUUAUCGGUUAUUUUCAUGGUAGUUGGUCGCUGGGAAUCAAUUGUUGAUCUAAAAUGAGAAAAUAAAAGUUUUAAUACGGGUAA
This is a long non-coding RNA of Daphnia pulex (common water flea), 2148 nucleotides long. RefSeq lists it as uncharacterized. NCBI's taxonomy places the organism in Eukaryota, Metazoa, Arthropoda, Branchiopoda, Diplostraca, Daphniidae. The record is from RefSeq and is a predicted model, not a curated record. The transcript is spliced from 9 exons.